GGUUAUGGGGUGUCCCUGGAGCGCUGAACGGGGGCAGCAGGGCGGGAGCUGGUGGUGUCACAGGUGCCCAUGGGGUGGCAAGGGGGCACCUGUGGGGCUGCAGCUGCCCCAGUACACGCAGGGCCGGGGGGUUCCCAUCCCCAAGGCACCCCCAGAAUCACCCGAGGAGAUACCGGGAUGGUUCCAGAGGAGAUACCGGGAUUGUUCCAGAGGAGAUACCGGGAUUGUUCCAGAGGAGAUACCGGGAUUGUUCCAAAGGAGAUACCGGGAUUGUGCCGGCACCGCUUCCCAAGGACGCACCAGCCCAGGAGCCCAAACAGCUCCAGCUGCCUCAAGGACUUGGCCCCGGAGCCGCUUCCCCAGCUGGAAUUAUCUGGACACGGUGGGAACUCGAGGCCACGGCUUUGGGGACAACCUCCCCCCAUCCCACCACCAUCCCUGACCCCUCCCUGUCCCCCCCUGCCCCAAAAUCCUGGUCUGCCCCCGCCUGACCCCAAGGAUGCUCGGGAGAAGCUGAGUUUUCCAAUGUUUUAUUUGUGUUUUGAGAUUACAGAGUCUUUAUUGCUGAUCUAAUACAAUCACUCAGACAUUAA
Molecule: long non-coding RNA, 593 nt
Organism: Corvus hawaiiensis (hawaiian crow)
Lineage: Eukaryota; Metazoa; Chordata; Aves; Passeriformes; Corvidae
Exons: 2
Source: RefSeq, a predicted model, not a curated record